GGAAGAUGGCGGCGUGCUUACCAUGCAGUCGAACGGUGAAGCAGAGCUUGCUCUGUGGAUCAGUGGCGAACGGGUGAGUAACACGUGAGCAACCUGCCCCUGACUCUGGGAUAAGCGCUGGAAACGGCGUCUAAUACUGGAUAUGAGCUGCGACCGCAUGGUCAGCAGUUGGAAAGAUUUUUCGGUCUGGGAUGGGCUCACGGCCUAUCAGCUUGUUGGUGAGGUAAUGGCUCACCAAGGCGUCGACGGGUAGCCGGCCUGAGAGGGUGACCGGCCACACUGGGACUGAGACACGGCCCAGACUCCUACGGGAGGCAGCAGUGGGGAAUAUUGCACAAUGGGCGAAAGCCUGAUGCAGCAACGCCGCGUGAGGGAUGACGGCCUUCGGGUUGUAAACCUCUUUUAGCAGGGAAGAAGCGAAAGUGACGGUACCUGCAGAAAAAGCGCCGGCUAACUACGUGCCAGCAGCCGCGGUAAUACGUAGGGCGCAAGCGUUAUCCGGAAUUAUUGGGCGUAAAGAGCUCGUAGGCGGUUUGUCGCGUCUGCUGUGAAAUCCCGAGGCUCAACCUCGGGUCUGCAGUGGGUACGGGCAGACUAGAGUGCGGUAGGGGAGAUUGGAAUUCCUGGUGUAGCGGUGGAAUGCGCAGAUAUCAGGAGGAACACCGAUGGCGAAGGCAGAUCUCUGGGCCGUUACUGACGCUGAGGAGCGAAAGGGUGGGGAGCAAACAGGCUUAGAUACCCUGGUAGUCCACCCCGUAAACGUUGGGAACUAGUUGUGGGGUCCAUUCCACGGAUUCCGUGACGCAGCUAACGCAUUAAGUUCCCCGCCUGGGGAGUACGGCCGCAAGGCUAAAACUCAAAGGAAUUGACGGGGACCCGCACAAGCGGCGGAGCAUGCGGAUUAAUUCGAUGCAACGCGAAGAACCUUACCAAGGCUUGACAUAUACGAGAACGGGCCAGAAAUGGUCAACUCUUUGGACACUCGUAAACAGGUGGUGCAUGGUUGUCGUCAGCUCGUGUCGUGAGAUGUUGGGUUAAGUCCCGCAACGAGCGCAACCCUCGUUCUAUGUUGCCAGCACGUAAUGGUGGGAACUCAUGGGAUACUGCCGGGGUCAACUCGGAGGAAGGUGGGGAUGACGUCAAAUCAUCAUGCCCCUUAUGUCUUGGGCUUCACGCAUGCUACAAUGGCCGGUACAAAGGGCUGCAAUACCGCGAGGUGGAGCGAAUCCCAAAAAGCCGGUCCCAGUUCGGAUUGAGGUCUGCAACUCGACCUCAUGAAGUCGGAGUCGCUAGUAAUCGCAGAUCAGCAACGCUGCGGUGAAUACGUUCCCGGGUCUUGUACACACCGCCCGUCAAGUCAUGAAAGUCGGUAACACCUGAAGCCGGUGGCCCAACCCUUGUGGAGGGAGCCGUCGAAGGUGCAUCGCAGCCCU
Molecule: ribosomal RNA, 1433 nt
Filed under: uncultured bacterium
Lineage: Bacteria
Description: bacterial SSU rRNA
Rfam family: Bacterial small subunit ribosomal RNA
Source: RNAcentral